This is a transfer RNA of Deinococcus peraridilitoris DSM 19664, 72 nucleotides long. It matches the Rfam family "tRNA". From Rfam's summary of the family: Transfer RNA (tRNA) molecules are approximately 80 nucleotides in length. Their secondary structure includes four short double-helical elements and three loops (D, anti-codon, and T loops). Further hydrogen bonds mediate the characteristic L-shaped molecular structure. tRNAs have two regions of fundamental functional importance: the anti-codon, which is responsible for specific mRNA codon recognition, and the 3' end, to which the tRNAs corresponding amino acid is attached (by aminoacyl-tRNA synthetases). tRNAs cope with the degeneracy of the genetic code in two manners: having more than one tRNA (with a specific anti-codon) for a particular amino acid; and 'wobble' base-pairing, i.e. permitting non-standard base-pairing at the 3rd anti-codon position. The record is from Rfam. NCBI's taxonomy places the organism in Bacteria, Thermotogati, Deinococcota, Deinococci, Deinococcales, Deinococcaceae.
GGGCGGUUAGCUCAGCGGUAGAGCACUCGCUUCACACGCGAGGGGUCGUAGGUUCAAAUCCUAUACCGCCCA